GACGAACGCUGGCGGCGUGCUUAACACAUGCAAGUCGAACGGAAAGGCCCUGCUUUUGUGGGGUGCUCGAGUGGCGAACGGGUGAGUAACACGUGAGUAACCUGCCCUUGACUUUGGGAUAACUUCAGGAAACUGGGGCUAAUGCCGGAUAGGAGCUCCUGCUGCAUGGUGGGGGUUGGAAAGCUUCGGCGGGUGGGGAUGGACUCGCGGCUUAUCAGCUUGUUGGUGGGGUAGUGGCUUACCAAGGCUUUGACGGGUAGCCGGCCUGAGAGGGUGACCGGCCACAUGGGGACUGAGAUACGGCCCAGACUCCUACGGGAGGCAGCAGUGGGGAAUAUUGCACAAUGGGCGGAAGCCUGAUGCAGCAACGCCGCGUGCGGGAUGACGGCCUUCGGGUUGUAAACCGCUUUCGCCUGUGACGAAGCGUGAGUGACGGUAAUGGGUAAAGAAGCACCGGCUAACUACGUG
RNAcentral lists this ribosomal RNA (468 nucleotides) under uncultured bacterium. Its description in RNAcentral is "partial 16S ribosomal RNA". It matches the Rfam family "Bacterial small subunit ribosomal RNA", at positions 28 to 507 of the family's 1533-position model. The record is from RNAcentral.